ACUUUAUUGAGGUUUUGUUAAAUUAGGAGAGUUUGGGGGGGGGUUUAUAUCUGAUUUUAAGUGUAUUUGAGUAAUUUUACAUAAAAUUUUAGAUAUUUUAUUAAGCAGCUUGUUCUGUAAAUAUAAGUGUUAAUAGUUGUUAUAGCAAUUAUUGUGAUUAUUUKRARRYKYAUWKWAMAUUUUAUUUAAUAUAUAAAUAUUAAAAGUUUAAUUAUAUUUUAAAAAAAUUUAAUUAAUAAUUUUGUAGUAUAUAAAAUUAUAAAGAAAUAAAAAUAAUUUUUGUUUUAGAAUAUAUUUUUAAAAUAGAAAAAAUUUGUGCCAGCAUUCGCGGUUAGACAAAUUUAUGAUUUGAGUGAAUUUUUUAAAUUUAAUAAGUAUUAAUUUUAAUAAAAUAGGAAUUUAUUGAUAAAUAUUAAAUUAAGGUGAAAUUUUAUUAAUUUAUAUWWWKWAWAUYUUAUCUAAUCCUAGUUUAUAGGAUUAGAUACCCUAUUAUUAUAAUUGUAAAUUGUGAAAAGUUAGUUAAUUAAGUUUUAUUUUAAAAUUUAUAAAUUAUUAAAAAAAUUAUUUUAUGUUGUUGAAUUUAUUAAAAUUAGGUAGUAAUAGUUAUGGUCUUGAAACUUAAAGAAUUUGACGGUAAUUCAUUCAACUUAGAGGAACUUGUUUUUUAAUUGAUAGUCCACGAUAGAAAUUACCUAAUUUAUAUAAUUUUAUAUAAUUACUUAUUUGUAUACCGUCGUUUUAAAAGGAUUUUUAAAGAAUAUUAAUCUUUAUGAUAUUUUUUUUUUAAUAGUAAUUCAGAUCAAGGUGCAGUUUAUAAUUAGGAUAAAAUGAGUUACAAUAAAUUUUAUUUAUUAUGGAAUUAAAGUUUUAAUAAAUUUUAAUGAAGGCGGAUUUAAAAGUAAAUUUUAUAAUAAUUAUUAAAUUUGAAAUUAGUUUUGAAUUAUGUACAUAUCGCCCGUCACUCUCUUUAUAAAAAGAGAUAAGUCGUAACAAAGUAAGGGUACUGGAAAGUGUUCUUAGAAUUAGUUAAA
Molecule: non-coding RNA, 1031 nt
Filed under: Pachycephus cruentatus
Lineage: Eukaryota; Metazoa; Arthropoda; Insecta; Hymenoptera; Cephidae
Source: RNAcentral